GGAAAUGCAAAUUAAAACCACAGUGAGAGACCAUUUCACAUCAAACAGGAUGUCGGUAAUCAAAAUGUUUACAACUGGUGAUCACCCCUACCUUGCUGAAUAAUCCUCCACUGAUGGCCACCGUGAACACGGGAGUCAGACUAUGUCCAUCACAUGGAUCAGAUUCCCCAGGCACCUCGUACAAUUGAGCACUUGAAUUGCAAAUCUCAACUUCUAAUGACAGCUCCUCCUGUCCAAUUUAUUUUAACUCUGAUAUCAACUAUUUCUCCUGUACCCCUUGUCUUAGAAUGCUUACAUUUUCAAUUUUUCAAUAAAAAUGCAUAAUCUUCCCCAGCAAA
RNAcentral lists this long non-coding RNA (338 nucleotides) under Equus caballus (horse). RNAcentral describes it as "lncRNA (ENSECAG00000056020.1)". Lineage: Eukaryota; Metazoa; Chordata; Mammalia; Perissodactyla; Equidae. The record is from RNAcentral.